RNAcentral lists this ribosomal RNA (734 nucleotides) under Lacticaseibacillus zeae. RNAcentral's name for it is "bacterial SSU rRNA". It matches the Rfam family "Bacterial small subunit ribosomal RNA", at positions 48 to 746 of the family's 1533-position model. Lineage: Bacteria; Bacillati; Bacillota; Bacilli; Lactobacillales; Lactobacillaceae. The record is from RNAcentral.
CUAAUACAUGCAAGUCGAACGAGUUUUGGUCGAUGAACGGUGCUUGCAUUGUGAUUCAACUUAAAACGAGUGGCGGACGGGUGAGUAACACGUGGGUAACCUGCCCUUAAGUGGGGGAUAACAUUUGGAAACAGAUGCUAAUACCGCAUAAAUCCAAGAACCGCAUGGUUCUUGGCUGAAAGAUGGCGCAAGCUAUCGCUUUUGGAUGGACCCGCGGCGUAUUAGCUAGUUGGUGAGGUAACGGCUCACCAAGGCGAUGAUACGUAGCCGAACUGAGAGGUUGAUCGGCCACAUUGGGACUGAGACACGGCCCAAACUCCUACGGGAGGCAGCAGUAGGGAAUCUUCCACAAUGGACGCAAGUCUGAUGGAGCAACGCCGCGUGAGUGAAGAAGGCUUUCGGGUCGUAAAACUCUGUUGUUGGAGAAGAAUGGUCGGCAGAGUAACUGUUGUCGGCGUGACGGUAUCCAACCAGAAAGCCACGGCUAACUACGUGCCAGCAGCCGCGGUAAUACGUAGGUGGCAAGCGUUAUCCGGAUUUAUUGGGCGUAAAGCGAGCGCAGGCGGUUUUUUAAGUCUGAUGUGAAAGCCCUCGGCUUAACCGAGGAAGCGCAUCGGAAACUGGGAAACUUGAGUGCAGAAGAGGACAGUGGAACUCCAUGUGUAGCGGUGAAAUGCGUAGAUAUAUGGAAGAACACCAGUGGCGAAGGCGGCUGUCUGGUCUGUAACUGACGC